UUGACAGCCCUGGAAACUGAAGUCCUCUGGGUCACCACAGAAAAGGAACAGCAUAAGCAAUGGCAGUGCAGGCUUCCCCUACACAAAACCCUGUCAGUGUGUCUCUACCCUGGCCUGCAGGGGCUGCUGCUAAUGGACAUGAGGGUAGUUCGUUCUGCAGGGCCCACACAGUCUGUGGUCACU
Molecule: unclassified non-coding RNA, 183 nt
Organism: Chrysemys picta bellii (western painted turtle)
Lineage: Eukaryota; Metazoa; Chordata; Testudines; Emydidae
Source: Ensembl